Molecule: ribosomal RNA, 420 nt
Filed under: bacterium
Lineage: Bacteria
Also listed under: 1 other name
Description: partial 16S ribosomal RNA
Rfam family: Bacterial small subunit ribosomal RNA
Source: RNAcentral
UGGGGGAUAUUGCACAAUGGGCGAAAGCCUGAUGCAGCGACGCCGCGUGGGGGAUGAUGGCUUUCGGGUUGUAAACCUCUUUCGCUAUCGAACAAGGCCCGCUUAGGGUGGGUUGAGGGUAGGUGGAGAAGAAGCGCCGGCUAACUACGUGCCAGCAGCCGCGGUAAUACGUAGGGCGCGAGCGUUGUCCGGAAUUAUUGGGCGUAAAGGGCUUGUAGGCGGCUUGUUGCGCCUGCUGUGAAAACGCGGGGCUUAACUUCGCGCGUGCAGUGGGUACGGGCAGGCUUGAGUGUGGUAGGGGUGACUGGAAUUCCAGGUGUAGCGGUGGAAUGCGCAGAUAUCUGGAGGAACACCGAUGGCGAAGGCAGGUCACUGGGCCAUUACUGACGCUGAGGAGCGAAAGCAUGGGUAGCGAACAGG